CAACUUUCAACAACGGAUCUCUUGGCUCUCGCAUCGAUGAAGAACGCAGCGAAAUGCGAUACGUAAUGUGAAUUGCAGAAUUCAGUGAAUCAUCGAAUCUUUGAACGCACCUUGCGCCCCUUGGCAUUCCGAGGGGCNCNCCCGUUUGAGUGUCGUGA
RNAcentral lists this ribosomal RNA (158 nucleotides) under Russula drimeia. Its description in RNAcentral is "5.8S ribosomal RNA". It matches the Rfam family "5.8S ribosomal RNA". From Rfam's summary of the family: 5.8S ribosomal RNA (5.8S rRNA) is a component of the large subunit of the eukaryotic ribosome. The record is from RNAcentral. Lineage: Eukaryota; Fungi; Basidiomycota; Agaricomycetes; Russulales; Russulaceae.